This 253-nucleotide ribosomal RNA is filed under the name Eubacteriales bacterium. RNAcentral describes it as "partial 16S ribosomal RNA". It matches the Rfam family "Bacterial small subunit ribosomal RNA", at positions 524 to 776 of the family's 1533-position model. RNAcentral also lists the same sequence under 1 other name. Lineage: Bacteria; Bacillati; Bacillota; Clostridia; Eubacteriales. The record is from RNAcentral.
UACGUAGGUGGCAAGCGUUGUCCGGAAUUAUUGGGCGUAAAGGGCGCGUAGGCGGCAUCUUAAGUCAGAUGUGAAAACCCGGGGCUUAACCCCGGUAGUGCAUUUGAAACUGGGAAGCUAGAGUGCAGGAGAGGAAAGUGGAAUUCCUAGUGUAGCGGUGAAAUGCGUAGAUAUUAGGAGGAACACCAGUGGCGAAGGCGACUUUCUGGACUGUAACUGACGCUGAGGCGCGAAAGCGUGGGGAGCAAACAGG